GUAGGGUUUCAGAGUGGGCAUGCACAGUGGAAACAUAAUGGAUUUCAAAAUUUUAAUAAAAAAAUUUUAAAUAUUAAACCCUUAAACCAGUAUCUCCUUGAUGAUUAACAAUCAUAUAUAACAUAAAUUCAAGAUUAAAUUUAAGUUAUAGAAGAAUACCUGUAGCGCUUAAUCCAAAUUUCGGCAGAACCUCCACCAGGCGCCCAAGUGUUCGCCCUCCAAC
RNAcentral lists this long non-coding RNA (223 nucleotides) under Elaeis guineensis (African oil palm). RNAcentral describes it as "long non-coding RNA (EGUI_LNC042731)". The record is from RNAcentral. Lineage: Eukaryota; Viridiplantae; Streptophyta; Magnoliopsida; Arecales; Arecaceae.